This 77-nucleotide small RNA is filed under the name Escherichia coli. RNAcentral describes it as "isrK". It matches the Rfam family "isrK Hfq binding RNA". The record is from RNAcentral. Lineage: Bacteria; Pseudomonadati; Pseudomonadota; Gammaproteobacteria; Enterobacterales; Enterobacteriaceae. RNAcentral also lists the same sequence under 2 other names.
GCACCUUAUAAAGCGGGUGCCGGGCGUGAGAACCCGGAAUUCACCAAAGCGCACAACCGCGCUCUUGCGGUUUUUUU